This 467-nucleotide ribosomal RNA is filed under the name uncultured bacterium. RNAcentral describes it as "partial 16S ribosomal RNA". It matches the Rfam family "Bacterial small subunit ribosomal RNA", at positions 28 to 506 of the family's 1533-position model. The record is from RNAcentral.
GACGAACGCUGGCGGCGUGCUUAACACAUGCAAGUCGAACGGAAAGGCCCUGCUUUUGUGGGGUGCUCGAGUGGCGAACGGGUGAGUAACACGUGAGUAACCUGCCCUUGACUUUGGGAUAACUUCAGGAAACUGGGGCUAAUACCGGAUAGGAGCUCCUGCUGCAUGGUGGGGGUUGGAAAGUUUCGGCGGGUGGGGAUGGACGCGCGGCUUGUCAGCUUGUUGGUGGGGUGGUGGCUUACCAGGGCUUUGGCGGGUAGCCGGCCUGAGAGGGUGACCGGCCACAUGGGGAAGGAGAUACGGCACAGACCCCCACGGGAGGGAGCAGGGGGGAAUAUUGCACAAGGGGCGGAAGCCUGAUGCAGAAACGCCGCGUGCGGGAUGACGGCUUUCGGGUUGUAAACCGCUUGCGCCUGUGACGAAGCGUGAGUGAGGGUAAUGGGUAAAGAAGCACCGGCUAACUACGU